This 908-nucleotide ribosomal RNA is filed under the name Massilia glaciei. RNAcentral describes it as "bacterial SSU rRNA". It matches the Rfam family "Bacterial small subunit ribosomal RNA", at positions 84 to 987 of the family's 1533-position model. Lineage: Bacteria; Pseudomonadati; Pseudomonadota; Betaproteobacteria; Burkholderiales; Oxalobacteraceae. The record is from RNAcentral.
CCUGGUGGCGAGUGGCGAACGGGUGAGUAAUAUAUCGGAACGUGCCCUGGAGUGGGGGAUAACGCAGCGAAAGUUGCGCUAAUACCGCAUACGAUCUAAGGAUGAAAGCGGGGGAUUCGCAAGAACCUCGUGCUCCUGGAGCGGCCGAUAUCUGAUUAGCUAGUUGGUGGGGUAAAGGCCUACCAAGGCAUCGAUCAGUAGCUGGUCUGAGAGGACGACCAGCCACACUGGAACUGAGACACGGUCCAGACUCCUACGGGAGGCAGCAGUGGGGAAUUUUGGACAAUGGGCGCAAGCCUGAUCCAGCAAUGCCGCGUGAGUGAAGAAGGCCUUCGGGUUGUAAAGCUCUUUUGUCAGGGAAGAAACGGGAGUUGCUAAUAUCGAUUCCUAAUGACGGUACCUGAAGAAUAAGCACCGGCUAACUACGUGCCAGCAGCCGCGGUAAUACGUAGGGUGCAAGCGUUAAUCGGAAUUACUGGGCGUAAAGCGUGCGCAGGCGGUUUUGUAAGUCUGUCGUGAAAUCCCCGGGCUCAACCUGGGAAUUGCGAUGGAGACUGCAAGGCUAGAAUCUGGCAGAGGGGGGUAGAAUUCCACGUGUAGCAGUGAAAUGCGUAGAGAUGUGGAGGAACACCGAUGGCGAAGGCAGCCCCCUGGGUCAAGAUUGACGCUCAUGCACGAAAGCGUGGGGAGCAAACAGGAUUAGAUACCCUGGUAGUCCACGCCCUAAACGAUGUCUACUAGUUGUCGGGUUUUAAUUAACUUGGUAACGCAGCUAACGCGUGAAGUAGACCGCCUGGGGAGUACGGUCGCAAGAUUAAAACUCAAAGGAAUUGACGGGGACCCGCACAAGCGGUGGAUGAUGUGGAUUAAUUCGAUGCAACGCGAAAAACCUUACCUACCCUUGACAU